Molecule: ribosomal RNA, 529 nt
Filed under: uncultured bacterium
Lineage: Bacteria
Description: bacterial SSU rRNA
Rfam family: Bacterial small subunit ribosomal RNA
Source: RNAcentral
AAUAGAUACCCAGGUAGUCCACGCCGUAAACGAUGAGUGCUAAGUGUUAGAGGGUUUCCGCCCUUUAGUGCUGCAGCUAACGCAUUAAGCACUCCGCCUGGGGAGUACGGCCGCAAGGCUGAAACUCAAAGGAAUUGACGGGGGCCCGCACAAGCGGUGGAGCAUGUGGUUUAAUUCGAAGCAACGCGAAGAACCUUACCAGGUCUUGACAUCCUUUGCCAACCCUAGAGAUAGGGCGUUCCCCUUCGGGGGACAGAGUGACAGGUGGUGCAUGGUUGUCGUCAGCUCGUGUCGUGAGAUGUUGGGUUAAGUCCCGCAACGAGCGCAACCCUUGAUCUUAGUUGCCAGCAUUCAGUUGGGCACUCUAAGGUGACUGCCGGUGACAAACCGGAGGAAGGUGGGGAUGACGUCAAAUCAUCAUGCCCCUUAUGACCUGGGCUACACACGUGCUACAAUGGAUGGUACAAAGAGCUGCGAACCCGCGAGGGUAAGCGAAUCUCAUAAAGCCAUUCUCAGUUCGGAUUGUAGG